UACGGGGGGGGGCAAGCGUUGUUCGGAAUUACUGGGCGUAAAGGGCUCGUAGGUGGCCAACUAAGUCGGACGUGAAAUCCCUCAGCUUAACUGGGGAACUGCGUCCGAUACUGGAUGGCUUGAGUUUGGGAGAGGGAUGCGGAAUUCCAGGUGUAGCGGUGAAAUGCGUAGAUAUCUGGAGGAACACCGGUGGCGAAGGCGGCAUCCUGGACCAACACUGACACUGAGGAGCGAAAGCCAGGGGAGCAAAGCGGG
Molecule: ribosomal RNA, 255 nt
Filed under: uncultured bacterium
Lineage: Bacteria
Description: partial 16S ribosomal RNA
Rfam family: Bacterial small subunit ribosomal RNA
Source: RNAcentral